GGACAACCUACCCUAUGGAGGGGGAUAACCCCGGGAAACUGGGGAUAAUACCCCAUAGACUAUGGAUGCUGGAAUGCUUUGUAGUUGAAAGGUCCGCCGCCAUAGGAUGGGUCUGCGGCCGAUUAGGUUGUUGUUGGGGUAACGGCCCAACAAGCCUGUAAUCGGUACGGGUUGUGGGAGCAAGAGCCCGGAGAUGGAUUCUGAGACACGAAUCCAGGCCCUACGGGGCGCAGCAGGCGCGAAAACUUUACAAUGCGGGAAACCGUGAUAAGGGAACUCCGAGUGCCCGUAAAAUCGGGCUGUCCAUCUGUGUAAAUAACAGGUGAAGAAAGGGCCGGGCAAGACCGGUGCCAGCCGCCGCGGUAAUACCGGCGGCUCGAGUGGUGGCCACUAUUACUGGGCUUAAAGCGUUCGUAGCUGGUCUGUUAAGUCUCUGGGGAAAUCUACUGGCUUAACCAAUAGGCGUCUCAGGGAUACUGGCAGACUAGGGACCGGGAGAGGUGAGAGGUACUCCAGGGGUAGGAGUGAAAUCCUGUAAUCCUUGGGGGACCACCUGUGGCGAAGGCGUCUCACCAGAACGGCUCCGACAGUGAGGGACGAAAGCUGGGGGAGCAAACCGGAUUAGAUACCCGGGUAGUCCCAGCCGUAAACGAUGCGCGUUAGGUGUAUCGGUGAC
RNAcentral lists this ribosomal RNA (676 nucleotides) under uncultured Methanomicrobiaceae archaeon. Its description in RNAcentral is "SSU rRNA". It matches the Rfam family "Archaeal small subunit ribosomal RNA", at positions 102 to 783 of the family's 1478-position model. The record is from RNAcentral. Lineage: Archaea; Methanobacteriati; Methanobacteriota; Methanomicrobia; Methanomicrobiales; Methanomicrobiaceae.